UGGUGGAGUGAUUUGUCUGGUUAAUUCCGUUAACGAACGAGACCGCUGCCUGCUAAAUAGUCCAGUGAGUGAAUUUCACUGACCAGGACUUCUUAGAGGGACGUGCAUUUUUUAAAUUAGCAGGAAGAUAGCGGCGAUAACA
This 142-nucleotide ribosomal RNA is filed under the name uncultured eukaryote. RNAcentral's name for it is "partial 18S ribosomal RNA". It matches the Rfam family "Eukaryotic small subunit ribosomal RNA", at positions 1299 to 1458 of the family's 1831-position model. The record is from RNAcentral.